GCCAGGCGUGGUGGAACAUGCCUGUAAUCCCAGCUACUCAGGAGGCUGAGACAGGAGAAUGGCUUGAACCCGGGAGGCGGGAGAUUGCAGUGAGCCGAGAUAUCACGCCAUUGCACUCCAGCCUAGAUGACACAGACUCUAUCAAAAAAAAAAAAAAAAAAAAAAAAGCCAGAUUUGGUGGUGCACACGUGUGGUCUCGGCUGUUUGGAAGACUGAAGCUAGAGGAUCACAUGAGCCCAGGGGUUGAAGGCUGCAGUGAGCUAUGAUCACACCACUGCACUCCAACCUGGGUGACAGAGCAAGACUCUGUCUCA
RNAcentral lists this small RNA (314 nucleotides) under Pongo abelii (Sumatran orangutan). Lineage: Eukaryota; Metazoa; Chordata; Mammalia; Primates; Hominidae. The record is from RNAcentral.